GAUGAACGCUAGCGACAGGCUUAACACAUGCAAGUCGAGGGGCAGCAUAAAAGUAGCAAUACUUUGGUGGCGACCGGCGCACGGGUGAGUAACGCGUAUGCAACCUACCUAUCAGAGGGGGAUAACCCGGCGAAAGUCGGACUAAUACCGCAUAAAACAGGGGCACCGCAUGGUGAUAUUUGUUAAAAAUUUAUUGCUGAUAGAUGGGCAUGCGUUCCAUUAGGUAGUUGGAGAGGUAACGGCUCACCAAGCCUACGAUGGAUAGGGGAACUGAGAGGUUGGUCCCCCACACUGGUACUGAGACACGGACCAGACUCCUACGGGAGGCAGCAGUGAGGAAUAUUGGUCAAUGGGCGAGAGCCUGAACCAGCCAAGUCGCGUGAAGGAAGAAGGAUCUAUGGUUCGUAAACUUCUUUUGCAGGGGAAUAAAGUGCAGGACGUGUCCUGUUUUGUAUGUACCCUGAGAAUAAGGAUCGGCUAACUCCGUGCCAGCAGCCGCGGUAAAACG
Molecule: ribosomal RNA, 508 nt
Filed under: uncultured bacterium
Lineage: Bacteria
Description: bacterial SSU rRNA
Rfam family: Bacterial small subunit ribosomal RNA
Source: RNAcentral